This 1737-nucleotide ribosomal RNA is filed under the name Salmonella enterica subsp. enterica serovar Rubislaw. RNAcentral describes it as "bacterial LSU rRNA". It matches the Rfam family "Bacterial large subunit ribosomal RNA", at positions 1223 to 2925 of the family's 2925-position model. Lineage: Bacteria; Pseudomonadati; Pseudomonadota; Gammaproteobacteria; Enterobacterales; Enterobacteriaceae. The record is from RNAcentral.
GUUGGGUAGGGGAGCGUUCUGUAAGCCUGCGAAGGUGGCCUGUGAGGGUUGCUGGAGGUAUCAGAAGUGCGAAUGCUGACAUAAGUAACGAUAAAGCGGGUGAAAAGCCCGCUCGCCGGAAGAGCAAGGGUUCCUGUCCAACGUUAAUCGGGGCAGGGUGAGUCGACCCCUAAGGCGAGGCCGAAAGGCGUAGUCGAUGGGAAACGGGUUAAUAUUCCCGUACUUGGUGUUACUGCGAAGGGGGGACGGAGAAGGCUAUGUUGGCCGGGCGACGGUUGUCCCGGUUUAAGCGUGUAGGUGUGUGUUCCAGGUAAAUCCGGUUCACUUUAACACUGAGGCGUGACGACGAGGCACUACGGUGCUGAAGCAACAAAUGCCCUGCUUCCAGGAAAAGCCUCUAAGCAUCAGGUAACAUCAAAUCGUACCCCAAACCGACACAGGUGGUCAGGUAGAGAAUACCAAGGCGCUUGAGAGAACUCGGGUGAAGGAACUAGGCAAAAUGGUGCCGUAACUUCGGGAGAAGGCACGCUGACACGUAGGUGAAGUGAUUUACUCACGGAGCUGAAGUCAGUCGAAGAUACCAGCUGGCUGCAACUGUUUAUUAAAAACACAGCACUGUGCAAACACGAAAGUGGACGUAUACGGUGUGACGCCUGCCCGGUGCCGGAAGGUUAAUUGAUGGGGUCAGCGCAAGCGAAGCUCCUGAUCGAAGCCCCGGUAAACGGCGGCCGUAACUAUAACGGUCCUAAGGUAGCGAAAUUCCUUGUCGGGUAAGUUCCGACCUGCACGAAUGGCGUAAUGAUGGCCAGGCUGUCUCCACCCGAGACUCAGUGAAAUUGAACUCGCUGUGAAGAUGCAGUGUACCCGCGGCAAGACGGAAAGACCCCGUGAACCUUUACUAUAGCUUGACACUGAACAUUGAGCCUUGAUGUGUAGGAUAGGUGGGAGGCUUUGAAGUGUGGACGCCAGUCUGCAUGGAGCCGACCUUGAAAUACCACCCUUUAAUGUUUGAUGUUCUAACGUGGACCCGUGAUCCGGGUUGCGGACAGUGUCUGGUGGGUAGUUUGACUGGGGCGGUCUCCUCCUAAAGAGUAACGGAGGAGCACGAAGGUUGGCUAAUCCUGGUCGGACAUCAGGAGGUUAGUGCAAUGGCAUAAGCCAGCUUGACUGCGAGCGUGACGGCGCGAGCAGGUGCGAAAGCAGGUCAUAGUGAUCCGGUGGUUCUGAAUGGAAGGGCCAUCGCUCAACGGAUAAAAGGUACUCCGGGGAUAACAGGCUGAUACCGCCCAAGAGUUCAUAUCGACGGCGGUGUUUGGCACCUCGAUGUCGGCUCAUCACAUCCUGGGGCUGAAGUAGGUCCCAAGGGUAUGGCUGUUCGCCAUUUAAAGUGGUACGCGAGCUGGGUUUAGAACGUCGUGAGACAGUUCGGUCCCUAUCUGCCGUGGGCGCUGGAGAACUGAGGGGGGCUGCUCCUAGUACGAGAGGACCGGAGUGGACGCAUCACUGGUGUUCGGGUUGUCAUGCCAAUGGCACUGCCCGGUAGCUAAAUGCGGAAGAGAUAAGUGCUGAAAGCAUCUAAGCACGAAACUUGCCCCGAGAUGAGUUCUCCCUGAGACUUAGAGUCUCCUGAAGGAACGUUGAAGACGACGACGUUGAUAGGCCGGGUGUGUAAGCGCAGCGAUGCGUUGAGCUAACCGGUACUAAUGAACCGUGAGGCUUAACCUUACAACGCCGAAG